UACGUAUGGAGCAAGCGUUAUCCGGAUUUACUGGGUGUAAAGGGAGCGUAGACGGGAAGGCAAGUCUGAUGUGAAAGGCCGCGGCUCAACUGCGGGACUGCAUUGGAAACUGUUUUUCUUGAGUGCCGGAGGGGCAAGCGGAAUUCCUAGUGCAGCGGUGAAAUGCGUAGAUAUUAGGAGGAACACCAGUGGCGAAGGCGGCUUGCUGGACGGCAACUGACGUUGAGGCUCGAAAGCGUGGGGAGCAAAC
RNAcentral lists this ribosomal RNA (250 nucleotides) under uncultured prokaryote. RNAcentral's name for it is "partial 16S ribosomal RNA". It matches the Rfam family "Bacterial small subunit ribosomal RNA", at positions 524 to 773 of the family's 1533-position model. The record is from RNAcentral.